ACUCGUUCAGCUUCGGAAAGGCUCCAUGACGCGUGGGACCGGCCAUGUGCGGGCCCCGACGGCUAGAGGCAGACACGCCCGCUCGUUCAGUCGGCUUGUUUUUCCUCUCCACAGAGCACGGGUGAAACCCUAGAUCGCUCCUCCAAUCCCUAGUCCUCAUUUCCUCCCAAUCCCCGUUUCUCCUCUCUCCUCCUCUCCAAUGGUGGCGCCGCCUCUCCCCGGCAUGGCGACGGACGGGGAGACCGCACGCAGGCGGGCUUCCGUGCGGCGGCGCCAGCGGCUGCGCCAGCGGCUGCGCACUGCACCCUUGGCCGCCGCGACCUGCUCCCCCGACGCCGGCGGCCUCCCCACGCAUCCUCCUGCUGGAGGCGAGCUGCAGGAGAGCAGACGGGGCCGGACGGGACGGCUGCCGUGGUAGAUGAGAGGAGGCAUCGCAGGAGCAGGUUCCGGAGGAGGGCCCCGGCGGCGCCGGUGGCUUCCUUUCAUCUCCCCGCGGCGGUUGGUGGUGCAGAGAAAGGCAACGAGCCGCGGGAGCUCACCACGCGCGUGCAGCUCGUCCACCAGCGGCAGCGGCGACACGCACGACGCCCAUGCCCCUCCUUCUCAGCGCCUUCUCGUCUCCGUCAGGAAAGUUAGAUGACAGACAGCAGCAAUGCCUCCAAUAGAGGCCUCAAUCAGGUCACAUGUAGGUGUCUAUUCUUUAUUGAUGUGCAGCCACGACUUGGAAUGUUGUAUUUGGGUGGCGGAAGAUUCCUACGACAGCAGUGACAACAACCAGCACUGGUGCAUUAUAAUUCAGUGGUUGAUCCUAGUGGUUGAUCCUAGAGAAUGGAGGAGGAGGGGUGUGAGUGGUAUAGAGCAGAACUUUUGCUCCACUCCGGUCUGAUCGUCUACGCCGGCCGGAGGACGGCCAGGAAGUGCCCGCCUGCUUCCUAGAAUCCGCGGGGAAGCUGGAGCUUACGGUUCACUUUUGCUACAGACCUAGAUGUGGGAGGGGACAAGGUUGGUAGACGAUGGUGCCAUGAAAUUGGAAACUUUUUCUCCGCUGUCCCGGUUGUGCUUCAUGUAGAACAAAGGAUUAGUGCUUUUGGUGGUCAAAUUUGGCAAGAACACGAAGAAGGCUAAGUUGGUGAUGGCCCCUUAGGAGAGUGGCACUGGUAACGGGAAGCUUCUAUGACGUCGAAGAGGGUGCUGAGCAACCCACAGGUCUUGAUUUCAGAGCGCGAUGGAGGCUUGUCGGACGGCCGGCAUGCCUAGGAGAUGCGGGUCAAGCGGCACCACGGGGCUGAGGUUCGGCUUCUCCCUCCUCUCUUUCUCUGUCUCUUCCUCUUUGUCUAUCUCUCUCUCAUCUCUCUUUCUCGUUUCUCUCUUCUUUUCUGGUGGAUGAGGGCACAACUACAGGGAACGGCGGCCAGAUGCUUCGGAGGAAAGGGUGCGGUGGGUUGAGGACGUUGGUGGACUACUGGAUAACUAGAAGGAAGGAAGAAGGACCAGUGGCAUGGCCUCAACGGGAUGAGAAGGCGGAUUCCGGCAUGGCAUUCACGAUUGGAUUUUCUUCUCAGUACCUUCGCUUCCAUGGGUGUUUGUGCUGGCUCAUGUUGCGAUGGAUUACGCCUGGCUUACAACAGUUCGCCGCCUCCUCUACUAAGCACCUGGCAGUUGGGAUGCUCCAAACUUUCAUGC
Lolium perenne is the source of this 1683-nucleotide non-coding RNA. The record is from RefSeq and is a predicted model, not a curated record. NCBI's taxonomy places the organism in Eukaryota, Viridiplantae, Streptophyta, Magnoliopsida, Poales, Poaceae.